AACGCUGGCGGCGUGCUUAACACAUGCAAGUCGAGCGAAGCACUUAAGUUUGAUUCUUCNGGAUGAAGACUUUUGUGACUGAGCGGCGGACGGGUGAGUAACGCGUGGGUAACCUGCCUCAUACAGGGGGAUAACAGUUAGAAAUGGCUGCUAAUACCGCAUAAGACCACAGUACUGCAUGGUACAGUGGUAAAAACUCCGGUGGUAUGAGAUGGACCCGCGUCUGAUUAGGUAGUUGGUGAGGUAACGGCCCACCAAGCCGACGAUCAGUAGCCGACCUGAGAGGGUGACCGGCCACAUUGGGACUGAGACACGGCCCAGACUCCUACGGGAGGCAGCAGUGGGGAAUAUUGCACAAUGGGCGAAAGCCUGAUGCAGCGACGCCGCGUGAAGGAUGAAGUAUUUCGGUAUGUAAACUUCUAUCAGCAGGGAAGAAAAUGACGGUACCUGACUAAGAAGCCCCGGCUAACUACGUGCCAGCAGCCGCGGUAAUACGUAGGGGG
This 503-nucleotide ribosomal RNA is filed under the name uncultured Lachnospiraceae bacterium. RNAcentral's name for it is "bacterial SSU rRNA". It matches the Rfam family "Bacterial small subunit ribosomal RNA", at positions 32 to 534 of the family's 1533-position model. The record is from RNAcentral. Lineage: Bacteria; Bacillati; Bacillota; Clostridia; Lachnospirales; Lachnospiraceae.